Molecule: ribosomal RNA, 253 nt
Filed under: uncultured bacterium
Lineage: Bacteria
Description: partial 16S ribosomal RNA
Rfam family: Bacterial small subunit ribosomal RNA
Source: RNAcentral
UACAGAGGUGGCAAGCGUUGUUCGGAAUUACUGGGCGUAAAGGGCGCGUAGGCGGCCCGUCAAGUCCCGUGUGAAAGCCCCCGGCUCAACCGGGGAACGGCGCGGGAAACUAGCAGGCUUGAGUUCGGGAGAGGGAAGCGGAAUUCCGGGUGUAGCGGUGAAAUGCGCAGAUAUCAGGAGGAACACCAGCGGCGAAGGCGCUGCUCUGGGCCGGUACUGACGCUGAGGAGCGAAAGCGUGGGGAGCGAACAGG